Molecule: non-coding RNA, 29 nt
Filed under: Mus musculus (house mouse)
Lineage: Eukaryota; Metazoa; Chordata; Mammalia; Rodentia; Muridae
Source: RNAcentral
UGAAAUUCAGGGCUUCGCGUACUCAUUCA